RNAcentral lists this ribosomal RNA (238 nucleotides) under uncultured bacterium. RNAcentral describes it as "partial 16S ribosomal RNA". It matches the Rfam family "Bacterial small subunit ribosomal RNA", at positions 103 to 334 of the family's 1533-position model. The record is from RNAcentral.
CGGGUGAGUAAUACAUAAGUAACCUGCCCUAGACAGGGGGAUAACUAUUGGAAACGAUAGCUAAGACCGCAUAGGUACGGACACUGCAUGGUGACCGUAUUAAAAGUGCCUCAAAGCACUGGUAGAGGAUGGACUUAUGGCGCAUUAACUGGUUGGCGGGGUAACGGCCCACCAAGGCGACGAUGCGUAGCCGACCUGAGAGGGUGACCGGCCACACUGGGACUGAGACACGGCCCAG